Molecule: transfer RNA, 78 nt
Filed under: bacterium
Lineage: Bacteria
Description: tRNA-OTHER
Rfam family: tRNA
About the family: Transfer RNA (tRNA) molecules are approximately 80 nucleotides in length.
Source: RNAcentral
UGCCGGAUAGCUCAAUGGUAGAGCACCCGGAGCCUGAGAAACUCCGGCACGGUGAGGGUUCGACCCCCUCUCCGGCAA